RNAcentral lists this transfer RNA (75 nucleotides) under Elusimicrobiaceae bacterium. Its description in RNAcentral is "tRNA-Asn". It matches the Rfam family "tRNA". Rfam says of the family: Transfer RNA (tRNA) molecules are approximately 80 nucleotides in length. Lineage: Bacteria; Pseudomonadati; Elusimicrobiota; Elusimicrobia; Elusimicrobiales; Elusimicrobiaceae. The record is from RNAcentral. RNAcentral also lists the same sequence under 1 other name.
UCCUCGGUAGCUCAAUGGUGGAGCGAUCGGCUGUUAACCGAUAGGUUACAGGUUCGAGUCCUGUCCGAGGAGCCA